UGAUGAAAGUGAAGCGGACACUGUACCUCUCUUCGGUUUUGUUGUCCACGCUGACAAAGAUGGAGGAGGUGGAGAUGGUUCCCAUGGAGGAGCCCUCGUAGAAGGACGGGUUGGCGGGGACCAGAUCGGGACGCAGACUGGCCAGGCUGCAGGCUCCGCCCAGUCGGUCCCUCCUGUCCUCCUCGUUCCUCUCAUCUGCCUGCGAUGAAAGGAUCUCCUGCGAGGACGACUUCAGAGCCGGGAUGGACGUACGAGUCCUCUUUGAAGGGGAGAAUCGAAGCGCUGCAGAGCGAAAAAAAGUAGCGACUGAGUCCACUCACGUGUCGUCUGUGGUGAGGGCUUCAGCAGCCUUGCCGUCUCCCUGGAUGGACUCCAUGGCGGUGGAGUAAAGCACCCUCUGACCCACAGGCCUCCUCCCAUCUCCCCCUGCCUGGCCCGGCUCCCCCCCUUCUCUCUGGCUCUGAUCCAGGACGUGCACACCCAGCAGCAGGCUGUAGUCCAUGAUCUUAAAGCUCUCCAGCACCUACAGCAGGGGUGUCAAACUCAUUUUUAGAUCGGGGAUCACAUAAAGCCAAGGCUCCUCUCAAAUGGGCCGGACCAGUAAAAUCACAAUAUAAAUAACGACAACUCCAAAUUGUUCCCUUUGGUUUUAACAUUUAUGCAUGUGCAUUACAUCUUACAAAUCAAAGUGUAUCUACAAAUGCACAAAACAUUUAGUCACAGAUAUCUGGAACUGACCAGUAUAGUAUUUUACUUAAAAACAACAAGAUUUAGAAACUAUUUUACAUUCAUUUCCACAUGUGUGAAGUAAUCCUGCCAACCUGAACUGACACACCACCAUACAAACUAAAGUGGGAACUAUUAAAGAAUAAGGUUAAGUUAUCCUCUGCCUUCUAAGUCUAUACAAUGUAUACAAAAUAAAUACAAGUUGUGA
Eleginops maclovinus (Patagonian blennie) is the source of this 934-nucleotide long non-coding RNA. RefSeq lists it as uncharacterized. The transcript has 3 exons. The record is from RefSeq and is a predicted model, not a curated record. Lineage: Eukaryota; Metazoa; Chordata; Actinopteri; Perciformes; Eleginopidae.